CACGUAGGGGGCGAGCGUUGUCCGGAUUUAUUGGGCGUAAAGAGCUCGUAGGCGGCUCAGUAAGUCGGGUGUGAAACCUCCAGGCUCAACCUGGAGACGCCACCUGAUACUGCUGUGGCUGGAGUCCGGUAGGGGAGCGUGGAAUUCCUGGUGUAGCGGUGAAAUGCGCAGAUAUCAGGAAGAACACCAAUGGCGAAGGCAGCUCUCUGGGACGGUACUGACGCUGAGACGCGAAAGCGUGGGGAGCGAACAGG
RNAcentral lists this ribosomal RNA (254 nucleotides) under uncultured bacterium. RNAcentral describes it as "partial 16S ribosomal RNA". It matches the Rfam family "Bacterial small subunit ribosomal RNA", at positions 524 to 776 of the family's 1533-position model. The record is from RNAcentral.